UGAACGCUGGCGGCGUGCCUAAUACAUGCAAGUCGAGCGAACAGACGAGGAGCUUGCUCCUCUGACGUUAGCGGCGGACGGGUGAGUAACACGUGGAUGACCUACCUAUAAGACUGGGAUAACUUCGGGAAACCGGAGCUAAUACCGGAUAAUAUAUUGAACCGCAUGGUUCAAUAGUGAAAGACGGUUUUGCUGUCACUUAUAGAUGGAUCCGCGCCGCAUUAGCUAGUUGGUAAGGUAACGGCUUACCAAGGCAACGAUGCGUAGCCGACCUGAGAGGGUGAUCGGCCACACUGGAACUGAGACACGGUCCAGACUCCUACGGGAGGCAGCAGUAGGGAAUCUUCCGCAAAGGGCGAAAGCUUGACGGAGCAACGCCGCGUGAGUGAUGAAGGUCUUCGGAUCGUAAAACUCUGUUAUUAGGGAAGAACAAAUGUGUAAGUAACUAUGCACGUCUUGACGGUACCUAAUCAGAAAGCCACGGCUAACUACGUG
Molecule: ribosomal RNA, 495 nt
Filed under: uncultured bacterium
Lineage: Bacteria
Description: partial 16S ribosomal RNA
Rfam family: Bacterial small subunit ribosomal RNA
Source: RNAcentral